UCGAGCGGGCGUAGCAAUACGUCAGCGGCAGACGGGUGAGUAACGCGUGGGAAACGUACCUUUUGGUUCGGAACAACCCAGGGAAACUUGGGCUAAUACCGGAUAAGCCCUUACGGGGAAAGAUUUAUCGCCGAAAGAUCGGCCCGCGUCUGAUUAGCUAGUUGGUGAGGUAAUGGCUCACCAAGGCGACGAUCAGUAGCUGGUCUGAGAGGAUGAUCAGCCACAUUGGGACUGAGACACGGCCCAAACUCCUACGGGAGGCAGCAGUGGGGAAUAUUGGACAAUGGGGGCAACCCUGAUCCAGCCAUGCCGCGUGAGUGAUGAAGGCCCUAGGGUUGUAAAGCUCUUUUGUGCGGGAAGAUAAUGACGGUACCGCAAGAAUAAGCCCCGGCUAACUUCGUGCCAGCAGCCGCGGUAAUACGAAGGGGGCUAGCGUUGCUCGGAAUCACUGGGCGUAAAGGGUGCGUAGGCGGGUCUUUAAGUCAGGGGUGAAAUCCUGGAGCUCAACUCCAGAACUGCCUUUGAUACUGAAGAUCUUGAGUCCGGGAGAGGUGAGUGGAACUGCGAGUGUAGAGGUGAAAUUCGUAGAUUUUCCGAAGAACACCAGUGGCGAAAGGCGGCUCACUGGCCCGGUACUGACGCUGAGGCACGAAAGCGUGGGGAGCAAACAGGAUUAGAUACCCUGGUAGUCCACGCCGUAAACGAUGAAGGCCAGCCGUUAGUGGGUUUACUCACUAGGUGGCGCAGCUAACGCUUUAAGCAUUCCGCCGGGGGAGUACGGUCGCCAAGAUUAAAACUUCAAAGGAAUUGACG
This 813-nucleotide ribosomal RNA is filed under the name uncultured Bradyrhizobium sp. Its description in RNAcentral is "bacterial SSU rRNA". It matches the Rfam family "Bacterial small subunit ribosomal RNA", at positions 62 to 915 of the family's 1533-position model. The record is from RNAcentral. Lineage: Bacteria; Pseudomonadati; Pseudomonadota; Alphaproteobacteria; Hyphomicrobiales; Nitrobacteraceae.